Molecule: ribosomal RNA, 253 nt
Filed under: uncultured bacterium
Lineage: Bacteria
Description: partial 16S ribosomal RNA
Rfam family: Bacterial small subunit ribosomal RNA
Source: RNAcentral
UACAGAGGGUGCGAGCGUUAAUCGGAAUUACUGGGCGUAAAGGGUGCGUAGGUGGCUGCGUAAGUUAGAUGUGAAAUGCCAGGGCUCAACCUUGGUUGUGCAUCUAAUACUGAGCGGCUAGAGUGUUGGAGAGGGUAGUGGAAUUUUCGGUGUAGCGGUGAAAUGCGUAGAUAUCGGAAGGAACACCAGUGGCGAAGGCGACUAUCUGGCCAAGCACUGACACUGAGGCACGAAAGCAUGGGGAGCAAACAGG